GGCGGAGACCUCAAGCAGAUUCGAGCCAGUCUCACCCGCAACGGAAGCCAUAACAGCCGGCCCGAACAAGCAUUCCUGGGCGCGGCGGAAGCCAUAGUUCUCCCCCUCCGCCCCUCGCGAUUCGUCGCUCGGGGAUGACGAAGCAAGCCCUCUUCGUUCGAACGAUUUCGGGACCUCGUCCUUUUCCCCGCCCACUCACUUGACUGAAGAGUAAUUUCAGUAAGGCCAAUUUACUACGAAGCUGGAAAGCGAUGUCUUCCUAGGUGCAGUAGCGGUCUCACUUAAACACUCAUUGUGAGAUGGUGGCGGCAGCUUUUCUCCCCAAUUGUUCCCAGCGGUGCGGAGUAGCUGUUUUGAUAAGUUAUCCAACGUAGCAGUAAUGGGAAGUAUCUAGGGAAAGGACGGGAGGGAGUGGGGACGCUUUGAUGCAUGCAUAUAAAAAUGUUGUGAAGACAGGACUCUGCCGCGAGGAGCUUACAGUCUUAAAAUUCACCAUAGGGGAGGCAACAGACGGAGGAACGGGUAAACAGGGGAAGGGUAUGCAUUCAGUUACACAACGAAUCGGUCAAGCGUACCUAUAGUAAGGGAAGAGGCAAAUCAAAGUGGGCUGAAGAUGCUCAUCAAAGCCUGAGUUGCCUAAUCUCCUCGGAGCUACAAGGAGCAGUGCCCGUCCAAGCCCUUUAGUCCUUUGUUGUGACACAGCUGCAUGGUGCAAGGGCUUCCCUGGAAAUAAGCAGAAUUGCCCCUGUCUCAGUGCAAGGGUGACAGCUGAGCCUCAGCCCUCAGGUUGUUCCCUAUAUAAAAGGGAAAAGACGUCGACAUACUCCCCUCGCCAAAUUUUUUCUUUCGUUGAAGGGAGCAGGUGGAAGCCUAAGGUGAUGGACGUGUCUGUGAUGUUCCUGUAUUAAUGUAUAUAUGGUGAGGCUGUUGCUGUACUGAACCGCUGCCUGGCCGCGAUAAUGGACUGGAUGAGAGCAAACAAACUGAAGCUCAAUCCUGACAAGACUGAGAUGCUGCUAGUUGGGGGGCCCUCUGCUCAGAUGGUUGAUGUCAGACCUGUCCUAGAUGGGGUUACACUCCCCCUAAAGGAACAGGUCCGUAGUUUGGGGAUCUUAUUAGAUCCGCUUCUGUCACUUGAGGCCCAGGUAGCCUCGGUGGCACGAAAUGCAUUCUACCAGCUUCAGCUGGUAGCCCAACUACGACCCUAUCUGGACAGGGAGAACCUAGCCUCAGUUAUUCACGCUCUGGUAACCUCUAGAUUGGAUUACUGUAAUGCUCUCUACCUAGGGUUACCUUUGAAAACGAUUCAGAAACUUCAGCUAGUGCAGAAUGCUGCGGCCAGAGUUCUUACUGGGACGAAGAAAUUCGACCACAUAACACCUAUUCUGGCCCAACUGCACUGGCUUCCAAUAUGUUUCCGGGCCAGAUUCAAAGUGUUGGUCCUUACCUAUAAAGCCCUUAACGGCACUGGACCGCAAUAUCUGAUGGAACGCCUCUCCCGCUAUGAUCCUACCCGUUCACUCCGCUCGACGUCUAAGGCCCUUCUCCGGGUCCCAACCCAUACAGAGGCCCGGAGAACAGUAACAAGAUCUAGGGCCUUUUCGGUGGUGGCCCCCGAAUUAUGGAAUGCCCUCCCAGAUGAGAUACGCCUGGCGCCUUCUCUGUCAUCUUUUCGGCACCAGGUAAAAACCCACCUCUUCACCCAGGCAUUUUAAAGUAUUUAAGCUUUUAAUCUUAUUUUUUUAGUUUUCUUUCACUUUGUUUAUAUAAUGUUUAUAUUGUCUGCGCAAUACACACUUGCUGUAUUUUAAAUAUUGUGGUUUUAUCAUGU
Rhineura floridana is the source of this 1831-nucleotide long non-coding RNA. RefSeq lists it as uncharacterized. The record is from RefSeq and is a predicted model, not a curated record. Lineage: Eukaryota; Metazoa; Chordata; Lepidosauria; Squamata; Rhineuridae. The transcript is spliced from 4 exons.